UACUCCGAGGAGACGGACGAGCACGACGACAACGAUACCUGCCGUCACCACGCUCGUAGACGUCCGUGCGUGCCUUCGGUCCGGCCCUUGUCCUCACGAGAAGGGAGGGACCGGCCGACGGGCUUCUCGACACCGUUGGAGUCAAAGCUGAUGGGCAAGCCGUAUCCCGGCCCGACGAAGGUCGGCGGUGUCGUUCCGAAACUUGAGUAGACGUUAUCUUCGUGGGUGCCACGGAGCGUCGGGGGGUCUGAGAAGGACGCGCUGCCGUAGUGGCUCCAACAGUUACUGUAGUCUGGGCCGCUGUGUAGUCCAUAACUACAUAGCAAAAGGGUUAGGCAGAGGCACUCUGGACUCCACCUACGUAUGUUGUAGAGGACCUUGGGACCCUCUAGAGAGCCAUAGUUAAUGUAUAUAAAUUUGAAGUGACCAACGCUGAAGUUGUACAUACACGAGGUCGUGCUGUGCUUGUUCUACCACCCAGUCACGUCAAGAUGUACGGGACUGCUUCUAUAGUGUCUAUGUCACCGGUCCGUCCUGACGUUGCCAUGUCCUACAACGUGACGGCAUCCAAUGAGACUCAACCCACGGCCGAACCUGUAGUUCAAACAGGCGGUGUUCUAACCUUUCGCCUUCAAGGUUAGCGUCUCAUUGGCUUCGAGGUAUACCCUAUGUUAAUUACAUCAUUGGAGACUAAUGCGGAUAUAAAUGACCCGUUAGCGGCAACUACUUGGACCGUGUCUAAUACGUACAGAGUCGUUGGUAUCGUCACCCGCUAAGCUAAGUAGAUUGCAGUGAAUAAUAACAGUGACACUGGCAUCAAUGGCUCCGUUAGGUAUGUAUUGGUUACCGACGAGGGCACUGUUUCCCAUGGUAGGCUAUGUUGCCUUCUGGUUGACGAGAUCUACCACACCUCUUUAGUCACAGGGAAAGGGUAAACCGGAUCUCCUACCAACAAGACGUUCCUACAGUAAAGUCGAGUUAACAUGUUUAAGAAGAAACAGAUGGGAGGUCUAAGAACUGUACUUGAUGUUAUGUCUUCCCUAGUGAAUACAUUUCUUAUAUGCAUAGUACCUCCCCGACUUCUCAUGGAAAGCCACUCACAUGGAGUUCUAGGUCCGGAGAUACAACGGAGGCGCCCACAUCAUGGUGUCGUCACCCGACAUCGGUUAAAUUGUACGGUGCUCAGUGUCCUCUUAUGCUGGCCUAUACGUACACAGUCGUACUUAUCGUGUACGAACCCACAGUUUAGACUUGCUCUUAUAAUGCCAAUGGCAACGUGUACAUACCGGCCGAAGUUACCCUUAGGUAUAUAACGCCUACCUACGUUUCUACAACUGCUCACGCUCUGUGGUCCUUGUACAUUACCCUAAACGGUAUUGUGAUUUCCUUCAGUAAUAACGUGACUUACAGGAUCAUUAUGUCACAUACUGUGACGUUGGUUCUACACGUGUGGCUGGUUUUUUGUUUUAGACCAUGAUCCAUAGCGGUAACCCUAAUCGCAACCAAAACCUUAAUAUGAAGAGUACAGUUAACAUUAUAAUGAGUAGGCAUCUACCUUUUUUCUGUAGUUCUUCUUUGACGUUUCUUUCGUAAAAACCGUCUUGGUUCCAGAUGAGGAGCUUGUUAACUAUAGCAGUCUACUUUUACGUUUACUGUUGUGAUUCUAAAAGAGUGAUAGUCUCAAUCUUUUCCGUUGUUUAAUGAAACUAGGGUGUGCAUAGCAACCAGCACCUCCCGUACCGUACCAAAUAUUUCCGUAGAAUAGGCUAGUUGCCCAUCACCGGUAUUUCUUCAGAUUUCAGUAACUCGUUCAACUCUAUUCGGUCAAAUAGUUACUCCAACGUCAGGAGAGGGUCCAUUUAGUGGCAUUAUAACACUUCGAGAAACCAACAACAGAACUCUCUCUUCAGGGUGACGAUCACAUACUGAAGUAGGGAUUACCAAGUAAUAAACCUUAGGAAGUACGGUCAUGGUGAUCGUCGAGAUAGAACAGUACCCUACUAACAAACUUUUAACGACGUGUUCGACGACCUCGUGAGAUAAUGGAGGUGAGUCGACGAAGUCAUAGUUAUAAAGUAGCACUACACUUCAGGUGAUUGUAUGAGAAUCUACCUUUAAUGUGACGUUUUCAUAGUCUAAAACCGCGAAGUUCCAACCAAGGAUAACUGGUUUGAGUACAGCAAUGUUUAUAUGUUCCGUGUAAACCUAUGAACCUAGGUCUUAUAAUGGUGUGACCAUACAACUUACUCUUCUCACUACAGAUAUCAAAACCACAUCAUGAACAUCUCAAUGACGAGUCUUUCUUCGGAUAAAAAUGUUCACUGAGACCCGAUUGCGUUUUGAACAAGUUGAUGAAGGAAACCCUCUACUCUCUCUUUGGUGAACGUCUUUAUCAUCGAUGAGUUCAAGAGCUCCUUCGUUGUUUACUUCUCUAAUUACUACAGCGGUUAGAACGCCUCUGAACGAACGUUGAUGCUCCACUUCUCUCUGGAUGUUACUUUGUUCACCUCUACUUUGAUGUCAUACUCGCUAGAUUUUCCAACUCUAGUACAAUCCAACAACAGUUUUUACUUCUGUACGUUGGGAACAAUUCACCUGUUUCGGUUCUGAGAGAAGGCUUCAACUGAUGAGGCUCACCAUAUCAUCUGUCUCAAUUAUAUCGAAGAGUUUCCUUAGUUUUAACGAUGUCGAACCUCGUUCUCAAGUACCGUAGCCGCUGAGAGGGUGCGAUCGAUCAGGUAGCACAAGAAGCGUAAUUACAAACCAACAGAUGAAAAGGAUAACUUCACGAUGUAAAAAACGCAGGAUACUACCUCUCCCAUUUCAUAUGAGAUGUAACAUAUCACGUGAUUUAUUACCCGCGAAAUAUGACAGGUCUAACCUUUUAAAGUAAGAGUAAGAACAGAAUUGUUUUUUUUUUAACACGAUGCCUACAUGGUAUAAUAAUAAUACAGGUCCGGCGUAACACUUAACAUUGUAGGAGUAAAAGUACACAAUUUUGUUAAUUUUUCGUUUCCUACAGUGUUUCACAAGUUUAGUUCAUUACGAAAAUGAACCUCAACGGGUUUAUUUACGUUUUUUUCAGUUAUAUAAUUACGUUUCGGUGAGGUAUUUUAAUCCUAUAGAACAAUAUCGAAAGCCUGGAGUAGUACCCUGGAAGGUAUUUUAAUGGAAUAGUUCGAGGUCUCCUUGAGAACACCUUCUUCCUCUGACACUACUGCCGAGGCUACUGGCUUGCCUCAGCCCUAGUCGACAACGCUUCAGGCCGCUCGGGUGGUCUAGCUCGUUUUGAAGCCAUUGCUCUGCUCCGGGCUUCUUUUCCAACGCGGGUCUACUUUCCAAGUACUAGUGUCGUUAGCGCCUGCUACCGGUUGGCUCACUUGGGCCGCCUGGUUCCUACGUAAAAGACGAGUCACGCCUUGAUAACAAUCCCUGUCGUAGGGCUAGUCGUAGGUGCAUACCUUAGUGGUCAUCUUUUUCCCGGAUUACACUUCGUGUAAUCAGGGCCAAAAUUUAACUUGGCCGUGAUUACACUGGUAAUCACGGCCAAGGUUGCCGAUCCGCCUGCUACCAGUAAUCAGGACCAAGCAGCGCUUGGAGAUCAUAGCCAAGCACGGUGUUUGACCAUGAUUUCUCCACCACCGUCCGACCACAGUCCGACGCCGGGUUGGUCGUGGAGAUCAUGGCCAAGUACGGUACUUGGCCCUGAUUUCUACGUGGAAAUCAGGGCCAAGCAUAUUAGUUGGCCCUGAUCUCUACGGAGAUAUAUUUGGGAAGCAGCUCGGGCGGGGGUAAAGAGAGACAAAAAAGGGAAAGUAAGGAAGGAGGGGAGACAAGAAGGGGUAACGAGCUCGAGUGUGAGAUAAAAACGGUUUUAAAUACUUUUAAACUUCCGUGGGGUAGGUAGGUUCACUAGUGUUUCCAAUCGUUGAAACAGGAAAGUAGAGAGUAACGAUCUAAUCGAGAACGUUACGAGAUAUUCAUAUUACUAAACACCCAAAAUAAAACCCUCCUUAAUAUACACCAUCAUAAAACUAAAUAUACGUUUAACUCCAGUUUUAUUGAGAAUCAAACGUAUACAUCCACACCAAAUGAAUCACAGAAGGGCAGAGACAGGAUUGGUGGCAGCUAGUGGGCGUGGCAGGGCAGCGGCCGAGGUGUAACAC
This 4166-nucleotide ribosomal RNA is filed under the name Triticum aestivum (bread wheat). RNAcentral's name for it is "partial small subunit ribosomal RNA". The record is from RNAcentral. Lineage: Eukaryota; Viridiplantae; Streptophyta; Magnoliopsida; Poales; Poaceae.